GGUCGAUUAGCUCAGUUGGUUUAGAGCGUGGUGCUAAUAACGCCAAGGUCGCGAGUUCGACCCUCGUAUUGACCA
Molecule: transfer RNA, 75 nt
Filed under: Cladosporium sphaerospermum UM 843
Lineage: Eukaryota; Fungi; Ascomycota; Dothideomycetes; Cladosporiales; Cladosporiaceae
Description: tRNA-Ile (AAT) (tRNA-Ile-AAT-1 1 to 9)
Rfam family: tRNA
About the family: Transfer RNA (tRNA) molecules are approximately 80 nucleotides in length. Their secondary structure includes four short double-helical elements and three loops (D, anti-codon, and T loops).
Source: RNAcentral